AAGUUUAGUCAUGGCCGACUUCAGUAAUAAAAUGUGUCAAUCGUUUCAGUUUUCCUUAAGUUUUCUAUAAAAAAAUUUGUUGUCGCGUAAUCCAUGAGUACGUACGCAUACGCCACCUACGGCAAUCUCUUGAACUAAAUUGUCACUACUGUCAGAAAUUUUCUUGACAAUUUUCAAAUCCAAAAUACUUUUGGGCUUGAAUGAUUAUCGUUGUUAAUGAAACUAGGGAUUAAUAUGGGAAGAAAGUGUUUUAUUUGUGGUAAUACACAGAAUCCAUUUUUUGAAUUUCCGGCGGAAGUCGAUCUUAGAAACAAAUGGUUUGAAUCACUUUCAAAAUUUUGUGAUCUGACCAAUGUAAACGAUCGCACUGUUUUGUGUUCCAAACAUUUUGUAAAAGAAUGUUUUGUUAAAGGCACAAAAAGAAUUCGCCUGAAUAAACAAGCGGUUCCGUUUAUAUUCAAUGAUGCUGAUCCUGACAUUUCUAGAACCCAACCAACGAAUCUUUUUUUAGAAGACAUUCAUCAAAAUUCCGUUUCUUCAUUCCAAAUUGGUAAUAGGGAAACUAAUAUUUGCACAUGUUCAAAGGAUAAACAAGAACUUAAAGAUCUCAGGUACCACAACAAAGUUUUAAAGCAACAAUUGAAUAGAAUGAAACGAAAGAAUUCUGAAUGCUUAUCAAAAAUAAGAACUUUAGAAGAAAAAGUUAAAAAUUUGGAAACUUUAAAAAUAAAAGUCAAUAUUUCUUUUGAACGUGAUAAAAAAUCACCAUAAAAAAUAGGUACGACCUAGGUGGUCAGAAACAUCUAUUUGGCUGUGGAUUGUCUGGAGGUUUUGUGGUGCAAGGACUGAGUACUAGACACAUAAUACCAGCAGGAUACUUUUUCUACUCAUUGUUAACUCAGAACUUAUAUUUAUUAAUGAAAACAUUUUACAAUUUCUGACAAACUGUGGCCACAUUGUGAUAGAUUUGUUACAGACAAUAUUUCAACAAAUGUGUCCCUUUUUAAAGAAAAUUGGAAAUGGAUCACUAAUAAAGUGAUAUGUAAUAAUAUUUCAUAUUGAUUCAUAUUAAUAUUUGGUUCAUUGUGACGAAUGUUUAACACCUUUAUUAUGUACAAGCAUUCCUGGUCAGUUGCUACAAUUGAUUGCCAUUCAUACUUAUUGUGUUUUGUGAUAAAGCUAAAUAAAAUCAUUAAUAUCUGGA
Molecule: long non-coding RNA, 1204 nt
Organism: Zophobas morio
Lineage: Eukaryota; Metazoa; Arthropoda; Insecta; Coleoptera; Tenebrionidae
Exons: 3
Source: RefSeq, a predicted model, not a curated record